UUAAGUUAUUAAGGGCGCACGGUGGAUGCCUUGGCACUAGAAGCCGAUGAAGGACGUUACUAACGACGAUAUGCUUUGGGGAGCUGUAAGUAAGCUUUGAUCCAGAGAUUUCCGAAUGGGGAAACCCAGCAUGAGUUAUGUCAUGUUAUCGAUAUGUGAAUACAUAGCAUAUCAGAAGGCACACCCGGAGAACUGAAACAUCUUAGUACCCGGAGGAAGAGAAAGAAAAUUCGAUUCCCUUAGUAGCGGCGAGCGAAACGGGAAGAGCCCAAACCAACAAGCUUGCUUGUUGGGGUUGUAGGACACUCUAUACGGAGUUACAAAGGACGACAUUAGACGAAUCAUCUGGAAAGAUGAAUCAAAGAAGGUAAUAAUCCUGUAGUCGAAAAUGUUGUCUCUCUUGAGUGGAUCCUGAGUACGACGGAGCACGUGAAAUUCCGUCGGAAUCUGGGAGGACCAUCUCCUAAGGCUAAAUACUCUCUAGUGACCGAUAGUGAACCAGUACCGUGAGGGAAAGGUGAAAAGCACCCCGGAAGGGGAGUGAAAUAGAACCUGAAACCGUGUGCUUACAAGUAGUCAGAGCCCGUUAAUGGGUGAUGGCGUGCCUUUUGUAGAAUGAACCGGCGAGUUACGAUUUGAUGCAAGGUUAAGCAGUAAAUGUGGAGCCGUAGCGAAAGCGAGUCUGAAUAGGGCGUUUAGUAUUUGGUCGUAGACCCGAAACCAGGUGAUCUACCCUUGGUCAGGUUGAAGUUCAGGUAACACUGAAUGGAGGACCGAACCGACUUACGUUGAAAAGUGAACGGAUGAACUGAGGGUAGCGGAGAAAUUCCAAUCGAACCUGGAGAUAGCUGGUUCUCUCCGAAAUAGCUUUAGGGCUAGCCUCAAGUGAUGAUUAUUGGAGGUAGAGCACUGUUUGGACGAGGGGCCCCUCUCGGGUUACCGAAUUCAGACAAACUCCGAAUGCCAAUUAAUUUAACUUGGGAGUCAGAACAUGGGUGAUAAGGUCCGUGUUCGAAAGGGAAACAGCCCAGACCACCAGCUAAGGUCCCAAAAUAUAUGUUAAGUGGAAAAGGAUGUGGCGUUGCCCAGACAACUAGGAUGUUGGCUUAGAAGCAGCCAUCAUUUAAAGAGUGCGUAAUAGCUCACUAGUCGAGUGACACUGCGCCGAAAAUGUACCGGGGCUAAACAUAUUACCGAAGCUGUGGAUUGUCCUUUGGACAAUGGUAGGAGAGCGUUCUAAGGGCGUUGAAGCAUGAUCGUAAGGACAUGUGGAGCGCUUAGAAGUGAGAAUGCCGGUGUGAGUAGCGAAAGACGGGUGAGAAUCCCGUCCACCGAUUGACUAAGGUUUCCAGAGGAAGGCUCGUCCGCUCUGGGUUAGUCGGGUCCUAAGCUGAGGCCGACAGGCGUAGGCGAUGGAUAACAGGUUGAUAUUCCUGUACCACCUAUAAUCGUUUUAAUCGAUGGGGGGACGCAGUAGGAUAGGCGAAGCGUGCGAUUGGAUUGCACGUCUAAGCAGUAAGGCUGAGUAUUAGGCAAAUCCGGUACUCGUUAAGGCUGAGCUGUGAUGGGGAGAAGACAUUGUGUCUUCGAGUCGUUGAUUUCACACUGCCGAGAAAAGCCUCUAGAUAGAAAAUAGGUGCCCGUACCGCAAACCGACACAGGUAGUCAAGAUGAGAAUUCUAAGGUGAGCGAGCGAACUCUCGUUAAGGAACUCGGCAAAAUGACCCCGUAACUUCGGGAGAAGGGGUGCUCUUUAGGGUUAACGCCCAGAAGAGCCGCAGUGAAUAGGCCCAAGCGACUGUUUAUCAAAAACACAGGUCUCUGCUAAACCGUAAGGUGAUGUAUAGGGGCUGACGCCUGCCCGGUGCUGGAAGGUUAAGAGGAGUGGUUAGCUUCUGCGAAGCUACGAAUCGAAGCCCCAGUAAACGGCGGCCGUAACUAUAACGGUCCUAAGGUAGCGAAAUUCCUUGUCGGGUAAGUUCCGACCCGCACGAAAGGCGUAACGAUUUGGGCACUGUCUCAACGAGAGACUCGGUGAAAUCAUAGUACCUGUGAAGAUGCAGGUUACCCGCGACAGGACGGAAAGACCCCGUGGAGCUUUACUGUAGCCUGAUAUUGAAAUUCGGCACAGCUUGUACAGGAUAGGUAGGAGCCUUUGAAACGUGAGCGCUAGCUUACGUGGAGGCGCUGGUGGGAUACUACCCUAGCUGUGUUGGCUUUCUAACCCGCACCACUUAUCGUGGUGGGAGACAGUGUCAGGCGGGCAGUUUGACUGGGGCGGUCGCCUCCUAAAAGGUAACGGAGGCGCUCAAAGGUUCCCUCAGAAUGGUUGGAAAUCAUUCAUAGAGUGUAAAGGCAUAAGGGAGCUUGACUGCGAGACCUACAAGUCGAGCAGGGUCGAAAGACGGACUUAGUGAUCCGGUGGUUCCGCAUGGAAGGGCCAUCGCUCAACGGAUAAAAGCUACCCCGGGGAUAACAGGCUUAUCUCCCCCAAGAGUUCACAUCGACGGGGAGGUUUGGCACCUCGAUGUCGGCUCAUCGCAUCCUGGGGCUGUAGUCGGUCCCAAGGGUUGGGCUGUUCGCCCAUUAAAGCGGUACGCGAGCUGGGUUCAGAACGUCGUGAGACAGUUCGGUCCCUAUCCGUCGUGGGCGUAGGAAAUUUGAGAGGAGCUGUCCUUAGUACGAGAGGACCGGGAUGGACAUACCUCUGGUGUACCAGUUGUCGUGCCAACGGCAUAGCUGGGUAGCUAUGUGUGGACGGGAUAAGUGCUGAAAGCAUCUAAGCAUGAAGCCCCCCUCAAGAUGAGAUUUCCCAACUUCGGUUAUAAGAUCCCUCAAAGAUGAUGAGGUUAAUAGGUUCGAGGUGGAAGCAUGGUGACAUGUGGAGCUGACGAAUACUAAUCGAUCGAAGACUUAAUCAA
RNAcentral lists this ribosomal RNA (2921 nucleotides) under Staphylococcus aureus. RNAcentral's name for it is "bacterial LSU rRNA". It matches the Rfam family "Bacterial large subunit ribosomal RNA". Lineage: Bacteria; Bacillati; Bacillota; Bacilli; Caryophanales; Staphylococcaceae. The record is from RNAcentral.